GACGAACGCUGGCGGCGUGCUUAACACAUGCAAGUCGAACGGUGAAGCGCCUUCCUUUUUGGUGGGUGUGGAUGAGUGGCGAACGGGUGAGUAACACGUGAGUAACCUGCCCCCUUCUUCUGGAUAACCGCAUGAAAGUGUGGCUAAUACGGGAUAUUCUGGGUCUGUCGCAUGAUGGGUCUGGGAAAGAUAUUGUUUCGGUGGGGGAUGGGCUCGCGGCCUAUCAGCUUGUUGGUGGGGUGAUGGCCUACCAAGGCGGUGACGGGUAGCCGGCCUGAGAGGGUGGGCGGUCACACUGGGACUGCGACACGGCCCAGACUCCGACGGGAGGCAGCAGUGGGGAAUAUUGCACAAUGGGCGCAAGCCUGAUGCAGCGACGCCGCGGGAGGGAUGGAGGCCUUCGGGUUGUGAACCUCUUUCGCCAGUGAAGCAGGCCUGCCUCGUUUGUGGGUGGGUUGACGGUAGCUGGAUAAGAAGCGCCGGCUAACUACGUG
RNAcentral lists this ribosomal RNA (494 nucleotides) under uncultured bacterium. Its description in RNAcentral is "partial 16S ribosomal RNA". It matches the Rfam family "Bacterial small subunit ribosomal RNA", at positions 28 to 507 of the family's 1533-position model. The record is from RNAcentral.